RNAcentral lists this ribosomal RNA (465 nucleotides) under Vreelandella stevensii. RNAcentral describes it as "partial 16S ribosomal RNA". It matches the Rfam family "Bacterial small subunit ribosomal RNA", at positions 338 to 795 of the family's 1533-position model. Lineage: Bacteria; Pseudomonadati; Pseudomonadota; Gammaproteobacteria; Oceanospirillales; Halomonadaceae. The record is from RNAcentral.
CCUACGGGUGGCUGCAGUGGGGAAUAUUGGACAAUGGGCGAAAGCCUGAACCAGCCAUGCCGCGUGUGUGAAGAAGGCCUUCGGGUUGUAAAGCACUUUCAGUGGGGAAGAAAGCCUUGGGGCUAAUACCCUCGAGGAAGGACAUCACCCACAGAAGAAGCACCGGCUAACUCCGUGCCAGCAGCCGCGGUAAUACGGAGGGUGCGAGCGUUAAUCGGAAUUACUGGGCGUAAAGCGCGCGUAGGCGGUCUGAUAAGCCGGUUGUGAAAGCCCCGGGCUCAACCUGGGAACGGCAUCCGGAACUGUCAGGCUAGAGUGCAGGAGAGGAAGGUAGAAUUCCCGGUGUAGCGGUGAAAUGCGUAGAGAUCGGGAGGAAUACCAGUGGCGAAGGCGGCCUUCUGGACUGACACUGACGCUGAGGUGCGAAAGCGUGGGUAGCAAACAGGAUUAGAUACCCGAGUAGUC